RNAcentral lists this transfer RNA (73 nucleotides) under Danio rerio (zebrafish). RNAcentral's name for it is "tRNA-Val (CAC) (tRNA-Val-CAC-61-1)". It matches the Rfam family "tRNA". Rfam says of the family: Transfer RNA (tRNA) molecules are approximately 80 nucleotides in length. Their secondary structure includes four short double-helical elements and three loops (D, anti-codon, and T loops). The record is from Rfam by way of RNAcentral. Lineage: Eukaryota; Metazoa; Chordata; Actinopteri; Cypriniformes; Danionidae.
GUUUCCGUAGUGAAGUGGUUAUCACGUUCGCCUCACACGCGAAAGGUCCCCAGUUCGAAACUGGGUGGAAACA